Diabrotica virgifera virgifera (western corn rootworm) is the source of this 407-nucleotide long non-coding RNA. RefSeq lists it as uncharacterized. The record is from RefSeq and is a predicted model, not a curated record. The transcript has 2 exons. Lineage: Eukaryota; Metazoa; Arthropoda; Insecta; Coleoptera; Chrysomelidae.
GUACGCAUGCAUAGCAAGACAAAAAAAGUUCAAAAAAGCCAAUAGAUGUCGCUAGAACCACAAAAAAGAAUUCUACCCAACUCCACGGCGUUGGUGAAUCUCAUGAAACUUGCCAAAGUCUAUCAUUGUCAUUGAGGCUAGAUGUACUUUUGCUGCUGCUGUGUUAUAUCUCCAAGAAAAGUAUUAUAAGCUAACAUAUUUUUAAGGAAAUAGUGUAAACUAUUAUUAAAGCGAGUACUUAGAUGUAAGUAUUGAAGCUUAAAUAACAGGAAAACGAUGCAUUUUAUAAAAUAUACUUACUAAACACUUGUCAAAGUACUUAGGAAUGCCUAUCAAAUGAGCUCCAGAAAAAGUUGAUAGCAUCAAAAUUAAGCAAGUUAUGAUGAAAAUAAGAGAACCAUUUUGAA